Molecule: transfer RNA, 74 nt
Filed under: Spirochaetia bacterium
Lineage: Bacteria; Pseudomonadati; Spirochaetota; Spirochaetia
Also listed under: 1 other name
Description: tRNA-Thr
Rfam family: tRNA
About the family: Transfer RNA (tRNA) molecules are approximately 80 nucleotides in length. Their secondary structure includes four short double-helical elements and three loops (D, anti-codon, and T loops). Further hydrogen bonds mediate the characteristic L-shaped molecular structure. tRNAs have two regions of fundamental functional importance: the anti-codon, which is responsible for specific mRNA codon recognition, and the 3' end, to which the tRNAs corresponding amino acid is attached (by aminoacyl-tRNA synthetases). tRNAs cope with the degeneracy of the genetic code in two manners: having more than one tRNA (with a specific anti-codon) for a particular amino acid; and 'wobble' base-pairing, i.e. permitting non-standard base-pairing at the 3rd anti-codon position.
Source: RNAcentral
GCUGCCUUAGCUCAGUCUGGUAGAGCAGCUGACUUGUAAUCAGCAGGUCGUGGGUUCGAGGCCUACAGGCAGCA